UACAGAGGUCUCAAGCGUUGUUCGGAUUCAUUGGGCGUAAAGGGUGCGUAGGCGGCGGGGCAAGUCAGGUGUGAAAUCCCGGAGCUCAACUCCGGAACUGCACUUGAUACUGCCUUGCUAGAGUACUGGAGAGGAGACUGGAAUUUACGGUGUAGCAGUGAAAUGCGUAGAGAUGUGGAGGAACACCAGUGGCGAAGGCGGCUUUUUGGUCUGUAACUGACGCUGAGGCGCGAAAGCGUGGGGAGCAAACAGG
RNAcentral lists this ribosomal RNA (253 nucleotides) under uncultured bacterium. RNAcentral's name for it is "partial 16S ribosomal RNA". It matches the Rfam family "Bacterial small subunit ribosomal RNA", at positions 524 to 776 of the family's 1533-position model. The record is from RNAcentral.